GAUGAACGCUGGCGGCGUGCCUAAUACAUGCAAGUCGAGCGAACGGACGAGAAGCUUGCUUCUCUGAUGUUAGCGGCGGACGGGUGAGUAACACGUGGAUAACCUACCUAUAAGACUGGGAUAACUUCGGGAAACCGGAGCUAAUACCGGAUAAUAUUUUGAACCGCAUGGUUCAAUAGUAAAAGACGGUCUUGCUGUCACUUAUAGAUGGAUCCGCGCUGCAUUAGCUAGUUGGUAAGGUAACGGCUUACCAAGGCAACGAUGCAUAGCCGACCUGAGAGGGUGAUCGGCCACACUGGAACUGAGACACGGUCCGGACUCCUACGGGAGGCAGCAGUAGGGAAUCUUCCGCAAUGGGCGAAAGCCUGACGGAGCAACGCCGCGUAAGUGAUGAAGGUCUUCGGAUCGUAAAACUCUGUUAUUAGGGAAGAACAUAUGUGUAAGUAACUGUGCACAUCUUGACGGUACCUAAUCAGAAAGCCACGGCUAACUACGUG
Molecule: ribosomal RNA, 497 nt
Filed under: uncultured bacterium
Lineage: Bacteria
Description: partial 16S ribosomal RNA
Rfam family: Bacterial small subunit ribosomal RNA
Source: RNAcentral